GGGGAUAACUAUUGGAAACGAUAGCUAAUACCGCAUAAGAGAGACUAACGCAUGUUAGUAUUUAAAAGGGGCAAUUGCUCCACUAUGAGAUGGACCUGCGUUGUAUUAGCUAGUUGGUGAGGUAAAGGCUCACCAAGGCGACGAUACAUAGCCGACCUGAGAGGGUGAUCGGCCACACUGGGACUGAGACACGGCCCAG
RNAcentral lists this ribosomal RNA (199 nucleotides) under uncultured Streptococcaceae bacterium. RNAcentral's name for it is "partial 16S ribosomal RNA". It matches the Rfam family "Bacterial small subunit ribosomal RNA", at positions 139 to 334 of the family's 1533-position model. Lineage: Bacteria; Bacillati; Bacillota; Bacilli; Lactobacillales; Streptococcaceae. The record is from RNAcentral.